Molecule: non-coding RNA, 1210 nt
Organism: Leptonychotes weddellii (Weddell seal)
Lineage: Eukaryota; Metazoa; Chordata; Mammalia; Carnivora; Phocidae
Source: RefSeq, a predicted model, not a curated record
UUUCGCCAAGCAUCCUGUGAAGGGUAGCCUGGAGUUUCUUCUUGGAAGGUGUGUAAAUAAGGGUGCUAACAUGCAUUUGUUGUUCAUGCUGGGAAGUUCCUCACUUCUCUUCAUUUCUUAAUUGAGUCAACUGGAAGAAAUACAUAUUAUCAUGGAUGUAUACCAUAAGAGACUCAGACUUUUGCUAUUGAGAUGUUGUCACUGAAGCAGAAACACCUAGGUACUAUGGGUAAAGAAAGUCUCUGUGCACAGCUGGGGGCCUCCCCACCUCCUGGGAUCACUGAAAGCAAGGGUAUGACACAGAGGCUGGGAAUCCUGAAAGUCACAAAGGAAUAGUUGGAUGAUACACCCUGGGCGUAGUGUGUCAUCCUACAUGUUUCAUGAAGAGCAGUGGUGGACAACUAAGAAGGAUGGUACUUUAUAUGGUCUGUGUUAGUCUUUGAAGUAUUUCUGUACUUUGAUUGGUGUGUUCAAUUUCUUCCAUUAGGUUAUUUAACCUGUAGUUUUCCAGAUGAUUUUUUUGACUGCCACCUAUUCACUGUGGCAAGUUUUGUGAGAUAUUCUAAGACAUAUUAGGUGUGGUCUCUGCCAUCAAUGAGGUCAGCAUCUGACUUGGGAGAUAAAACACAAGGGCAUGAAAUGUGAGUAAGGUCCAGUGCGAGACUAUCCCUUGAAAGGGAUGUUAUCGUAGAGGAGGGAGGGACAAGAAAAGUCACACAAUGCUUCACGUGGAGGCAAAAACUGAGCUGGCCCUGAAUGCAUGGCUGUAAAUUAAGGAUUCAUAAAUUAAUUCAAUAUUUUUGAGAUCUCUAGGCAUCAAGCUAAUGGAGAUGGUUUCUUCCUCCAAAGAGGUCACAGUGUACUUGAGGGAGAUAAAGAAGGGCACUACAAGUGUUACAGGUGCUGUGAUGGAGUUAUACACAAGAUACUGGGACAGAGGCUUGAAGGAUGAUAGUGACUUUCCCAGCUUACCGCUCCUAGAAACCAUGUCUCCAUGUCUCUGAAUCUCAACCCCAUGAUGCUUCUUCCAGAGAACUAUGGCUCGUUCGGCUGGGUAGUUCUUCUGCCGGAAUCACUAAUGUGACUGCAAUCAUCUGGAGGAUCGACUGGGGUUGGUCUAGGGAACCUUCUUGAUGGCCUAUCUCUAGGUGUUAUCCUAGCUCCAACAUCUUCAUGUGACAGUCACAGGGCAGCAAGAGAGGACAGACGC